RNAcentral lists this ribosomal RNA (1159 nucleotides) under Neptuniibacter sp. 2_MG-2023. Its description in RNAcentral is "bacterial SSU rRNA". It matches the Rfam family "Bacterial small subunit ribosomal RNA", at positions 382 to 1533 of the family's 1533-position model. Lineage: Bacteria; Pseudomonadati; Pseudomonadota; Gammaproteobacteria; Oceanospirillales; Oceanospirillaceae. The record is from RNAcentral.
CCUGAUGCAGCCAUGCCGCGUGUGUGAAGAAGGCCCUAGGGUUGUAAAGCACUUUCAGUCGUGAGGAAAGGUGUGUAAUUAAUACUUACAUACUGUGACGUUAGCGACAGAAGAAGGACCGGCUAACUCCGUGCCAGCAGCCGCGGUAAUACGGAGGGUCCGAGCGUUAAUCGGAAUUACUGGGCGUAAAGCGCGCGUAGGUGGAUUGGUCAGUCAGAUGUGAAAGCCCAGGGCUCAACCUUGGAACUGCACCUGAUACUGCCAGUCUAGAAUACGGUAGAGGGUAGUGGAAUUUCCUGUGUAGCGGUGAAAUGCGUAGAUAUAGGAAGGAACACCAGUGGCGAAGGCGACUACCUGGACCGAUAUUGACACUGAGGUGCGAAAGCGUGGGGAGCAAACAGGAUUAGAUACCCUGGUAGUCCACGCCGUAAACGAUGUCUACUAGCCGUUGGAAGACUUGAUCUUUUAGUGGCGAAGCUAACGCGAUAAGUAGACCGCCUGGGGAGUACGGCCGCAAGGUUAAAACUCAAAUGAAUUGACGGGGGCCCGCACAAGCGGUGGAGCAUGUGGUUUAAUUCGACGCAACGCGAAGAACCUUACCAACUCUUGACAUCCAGAGAAGUUACUAGAGAUAGUUUCGUGCCUUCGGGAACUCUGAGACAGGUGCUGCAUGGCUGUCGUCAGCUCGUGUUGUGAAAUGUUGGGUUAAGUCCCGUAACGAGCGCAACCCUUGUCCUUAUUUGCCAGCACGUAAUGGUGGGAACUCUAAGGAGACUGCCGGUGACAAACCGGAGGAAGGUGGGGACGACGUCAAGUCAUCAUGGCCCUUACGAGUUGGGCUACACACGUGCUACAAUGGCCGGUACAGAGGGCUGCGAACCUGCGAAGGUAAGCUAAUCUCACAAAACCGGUCGUAGUCCGGAUUGGAGUCUGCAACUCGACUCCAUGAAGUCGGAAUCGCUAGUAAUCGUGGAUCAGAAUGCCACGGUGAAUACGUUCCCGGGCCUUGUACACACCGCCCGUCACACCAUGGGAGUGGAUUGCACCAGAAGUAGCUAGCUUAACCUUCGGGAGGGCGGUUACCACGGUGUGGUUCAUGACUGGGGUGAAGUCGUAACAAGGUAGCCCUAGGGGAACCUGGGGCUGGAUCACCUCCUUA